AAGGUUAUACACCAACCAGGCACCCGCACCUCCCACGUGGGCGGAGCCAGGCUGGGUGGGCGGGGCCGCGGAGUCGGGUGCAGUUGGGGCCGGCGGCCACAGGUGCAGCACGGAGGCCGGACGCUCUGCCGGUUUCGGAGCUCGAGCUGGCCGCCCCCUCGGUGGAGCGUAGGAGGAGGUGUUGGCGGCAGGCCCAAGGGACCACCCUUACUCCAGCCCCACUCCUCAGCCCCUUUGGAGGAUUUGCCCCUGGAGUUGAGAAGGUGCUUGGCUGGGAGCCUGGGCGGCUGCGCCCUGGGUGAAUUUGACCCCGCACGGCAGCCCUGUCCUCGGCGUAGCCCCUGGAGCCGGCAGGAUGCGGGUAGAAGGCUGGAGCACGCACACCAGGUCACCCUCAGACGUCCUUUGUGAAGAUGGAGGGACGGGGUUAUUUUUUGCAGGAGGACUCACUUGGAGGUCCAGCUCGAGCUCCCUGGGACUCCUUCCAGGAUAGCGGCAGCCCUCAGUGACCACUCCCUCACCCCAGCAACUCCAGCACUUAAGACUGAGCCUCCUCUCACACCUCCGGAGUCUCUCGGAAGUUUUCAUCUGUGACUCAUCUCUAAAGUCAUCUGACCGCUCUUGGCAUCUGACUAUAAGCCCCUGGAUAGCAGGGAUUAUGUGUCACUGGCCUCUUUGUAGCACACACAGCAUGUGCUCAAAAAAAAAUUGUUGUAUAUGACAAUAAGGUUGCCCCCAAAUGUCAUCUCUGAAACUCUUUGCCACGGUGGGAGACAGCAGUGGCCGGCCAUCAUAAGAGGCUCGUCUUUUUGGCUUUGGUGGGCGUGGCUUUUUGGCUUUGGUGGGCGUGGCAUGGUUUUAGAGGCCCGGCAAGAUGCACUCUUUAGUUUGUUUUGCUUCAGUUAAGUUAGCUCGCUCACAUUCCCUAAGCACGUAGAUACUGGGCGGGCUGAGUGGAGGUGACAGGGAGCAUCCAGGCCGUGAGGGAGGGAGAGCUGCCUUCGCCUCCAGAACAUCCUCUCCAUCACACACAGAGCCCCGCUGGCGAGGGCAAGGAGCUGGCUGCGAGUGGAAACCAGGCCCGGGGAGGGUUUCCAUCAGUGACUGCGGCUGGCGGCUGAAGAUUCCUGUGGUCACCAGGAUAAUUAUGCUAACAUCACUGUGCUGUUUGUGAAAGACGACCUGGUUUUCAGAAAUGCCCACUGUCUGCUGUGUAUUUACAUCAGGAGGGGGUGGAGGUAGAGGAGGUAACUGCUCUUUCCUUAGUCCGUAAAGAACUCCAAACUGGGAGCAAGUAUGAGAUUCAAACAGGGGUCAUCCAGAAAACCUCCUGCCGUGCCCAUCAGAGAUCCCCCGUCUCAGCCUGGAGUGGACACACACUUUGCCUGACUCAGAAGACCUGCCCGAGUCUAGUCUGGGGCCAGCUCUACCAACAGGCAGAUGUGUAGCUCAGGCUGCUGUGCUCAACCUCCCUGACCCCAGGCUUCACCUCUAAUAUAAAGUAGAAAUCGUGCCUGCCCUGCCUACCUCACAGGGUUUUGAGAACUGUAGAUGUUAGAAUUUCAGGGAUUAGAAAUUAUCGACCCCAUUCUCACUAUCCAUGAGACCACGAGAGGUUAAAUAACACGUCCAAGGUCACGCAUCUAGCCACGCAUCUAGUGGCAGAGCUAGAUCUCAGGUCUUGUGGCUCCUCUAUUCGUUGUUGAUACUAUUAUUGCACGUAUCAUGCUUUGUUUGUUUACCUGUCCACCAUCCACGCAGAAGUGUAAGCCCCUAGAGGGCAGGGAUCCACUCUCACGCCCCUUUUUUCUCUAGCGCCUGGUACAUACUAAAGGUGCUCAAUAAACGUGUGUUGACCUAAACUGA
Aethalodelphis obliquidens (Pacific white-sided dolphin) is the source of this 1866-nucleotide long non-coding RNA. RefSeq lists it as uncharacterized. NCBI's taxonomy places the organism in Eukaryota, Metazoa, Chordata, Mammalia, Artiodactyla, Delphinidae. The transcript is spliced from 2 exons. The record is from RefSeq and is a predicted model, not a curated record.